GCCAUUGGGCCAGAAUUAAAUAAAUCUACAACUUGGGCUUGGCUUGGGCUGCAUUGCUGAUGCUUCUGUUUCUGUUUUAGUGAUUUGGGCUGCAGAUGUGGCCCAAUAACUCCAACACCCCCUGCAAGUUGGAGGGUGACUGAACCCCCAACUUGAGCAUGAUAGAAUGAUGCAAAAGACCAGGAAGGGGUUUGGUAAAGAUAUCCGCAAGCUGAGAGGUAGUAGGGACAUGGUGCAAGGCAAUAAGGCCUUCAUGAAGCUUGCCUCUGAUGAAAUGACAAUCCACCUCAAUAUGUUUUGUCUGCUCAUGAAAAACUGGAUUCUUUGCAAUGUGAAGUGCUGCUUGAUUAUCACAAAAGACUGGUACAGGUGUGGUAACAGGAACCCCACAAUCAGACAGCAAUCGAAUGAGCCAGGUGAGUUCACCAACAACCUUGCUGAUGGCUCUAUACUCAGCCUCAGCAGAAGACAGAGAUACCACAUGCUGUUUCUUAGCUUUCCAACCAAUGAGAGAACCACCUAACAAAACACAGAAGCCAGAAACAAACCUCCUGGUGUUUGGCAAAGAAGCCCAGUCACUAUCACAAUAAGCAGAUAAGGAGAGACCAGGAGAGUUGCUGAGAAAAAUGCCAAUCUCAGAAGUGUCUCUAAGGUAUCUCAGGGUAUGCAAAGCAGCAAGCAUGUGAGAGGAUGUAGGUUUCUGAAGAUACUGACUCAAAUGCUGUACAGCAAAGGCCAAGUCAGGCCUAGUGUGGGUGAGAAAAUUGAGAUUUCUUAGCCUUCCAACCAAUAAGAGAACCACCUAACAGAACACAAAAACCAGAAACAGAUCUCCUGGUGCGGGCAAGAAGCCCAGUCACUGUCACAAUAAGCAGAUAAGGAGAGGUCAGGUGUGUUGCUGAGAAAAAUGCCAAGCUCAGAAGUGCCUCUAAGAUAUCUCAGGGUAUACAAGGCUGCAUGCAUGUGAGAGGAGGUAGGCUUCUGAAGAUAUUGACUCAAAUGCUGUACAGCAAAGGCCAAGUCACGUCUAGUGUGUGUGAGAAAAUUGAGUUUCCCCACUAAGCACCUAUAUGAUUCAGGAAAGGGAAGAGGAUCCCCCAUAUCUAGUUUGAGUUUAACAGAGAGGUCAAGAGGGCAAGUAACAGGAGAAACAUCCUCACAGUGAUAGGUUUUGAGAAGGUCAGUGAUAAACUUUUUUUGGUGGAGAAGAAGCUCAGUAGAGAGAUAACUGACCUCAAUUCCCAGAAAAUAGUUGAGCACCCCCAAGUCCUUGAUUUU
Molecule: long non-coding RNA, 1278 nt
Filed under: Nicotiana benthamiana
Lineage: Eukaryota; Viridiplantae; Streptophyta; Magnoliopsida; Solanales; Solanaceae
Description: long non-coding RNA (NBEN_LNC014998)
Source: RNAcentral